CCUACGGGAGGCAGCAGUGGGGAAUUUUGGACAAUGGGCGCAAGCCUGAUCCAGCCAUGCCGCGUGUGGGAAGAAGGCCUUCGGGUUGUAAACCACUUUUGUCAGGGAAGAAACGGCUCUUACUAAUAUUAGGGGCUAAUGACGGUACCUGAAGAAUAAGCACCGGCUAACUACGUGCCAGCAGCCGCGGUAAUACGUAGGGUGCAAGCGUUAAUCGGAAUUACUGGGCGUAAAGCGUGCGCAGGCGGCUUUGCAAGACAGAUGUGAAAUCCCCGGGCUCAACCUGGGAACUGCAUUUGUGACUGCAUGGCUAGAGUACGGUAGAGGGGGAUGGAAUUCCGCGUGUAGCAGUGAAAUGCGUAGAUAUGCGGAGGAACACCGAUGGCGAAGGCAAUCCCCUGGACCUGUACUGACGCUCAUGCACGAAAGCGUGGGGAGCAAACAGGAUUAGAUACCCUGGUAGUCCACGCCCUAAACGAUGUCAACUGGUUGUUGGACGGCUUGCUGUUCAGUAACGAAGCUACGCGUGAGUUGACCGCCUGGGGAAGUCGGCCGCAAGGUUGAAACUUNAAUUGAUUGACGGNUUGNGAGNGCGAGCGACGACGAGGAGGAGG
RNAcentral lists this ribosomal RNA (614 nucleotides) under uncultured bacterium. Its description in RNAcentral is "bacterial SSU rRNA". It matches the Rfam family "Bacterial small subunit ribosomal RNA", at positions 338 to 944 of the family's 1533-position model. The record is from RNAcentral.